AUUGAACGCUGGCGGCAUGCUUUACACAUGCAAGUCGAACGGUAACAGGCCUUCGGGUGCUGACGGGUGGCGAACGGGUGAGUAAUGCAUCGGAACGUACCCAGAGGUGGGGGAUAACGCAGCGAAAGCUGUGCUAAUACCGCAUGUGAUCUGAGGAUGAAAGCGGGGGACCGAGCAGCAAUGUUUGGCCUCGCGCCUUUGGAGCGGCCGAUGUCGGAUUAGCUAGUUGGUGGGGUAAAGGCCUACCAAGGCGACGAUCCGUAGCUGGUCUGAGAGGACGACCAGCCACACUGGGACUGAGACACGGCCCAGACUCCUACGGGAGGCAGCAGUGGGGAAUGUUGGACAAUGGGCGCAAGCCUGAUCCAGCAAUGCCGCGUGCGGGAAGAAGGCCUUCGGGUUGUAAACCGCUUUUGGCAGGAACGAAACGGUGUCCGCUAAUACCGGGCGCUAAUGACGGUACCUGCAGAAUAAGCACCGGCUAACUACGUG
RNAcentral lists this ribosomal RNA (492 nucleotides) under uncultured bacterium. Its description in RNAcentral is "partial 16S ribosomal RNA". It matches the Rfam family "Bacterial small subunit ribosomal RNA", at positions 29 to 507 of the family's 1533-position model. The record is from RNAcentral.